GGCUUCUCAAAAAUAGCAGGGCCAAUGACUCAGUUGACAAGAAAGGGUGUAAAGUUUCAGUGGACAGAAAAAUGUGAAAAAUGUUUUCAAGAACUCAAGCAGAGGCUAGUCUCAGCUCCUGUAUUGACGAUACCUGAAGGUUCAGAGGGAUUUGUGAUUUACAGCGAUGCCUCUAAGCAGGGUUUAGGCUGUGUACUGAUGCAGCAUGGUAAAGUGGUUGCUUAUGCCUCGAGACAGUUGAAGCAGUAUGAGCAAAACUAUCCAACGCAUGAUUUGGAGCUUGCAGCAGUUGUUCACGCCUUAAAGAUAUGGCGUCAUUAUCUUUACGGUGGGAAGUGUGAAAUUUAUACGGACCACAAGAGUCUCAAAUACUUUUUCACACAGAAGGAACUAAAUAUGAGACAGAGGAGAUGGUUGGAGUUAGUGAAGGAUUAUGACUGCACAAUUCAUUACCAUCCGGGUAAGGCUAAUGUAGUUGCAGAUACCCUAAGCAGAAAGACAGGAACACAGUUAGCAGUUUUACCCACAGUACAGGAACACUUGAUAAGGGAGUUUGAUAAAUUGAGAUUGGAAGUUAUCACGCCGCCAACUCAGAUUUCAGCGAGAAUAAGAGCAUUCAUGAUUCAACCUACACUUCGAGAUCGAAUCAAGGAGGCACAAGAUAAAGAUCCAUUUUUACAGAAGAUAAAGGCCGAGAUUGGUAUAGAUAAACAUAUAGGGUUUGAAGUAUCUGCAGAUAAUGCGCUAACUUUCAAAGGAAGGCUGUGUGUACCUAAGGAUGAAAGUAUAAGAAAUGAGAUAUUAGAAGAGGCUCAUUCAACCCCUUAUUCUGCUCAUCCAGGUGGUACGAAAAUGUACCGAGAUCUCCGGGAUGUAUUUUGGUGGAGAAACAUGAAGAGAGGAAUUGGUCUGUUCGUGGAGAGAUGUAUUAUCUGUCAACAGGUUAAGACAGAACAUCAAAGGCCAUCAGGAUUACUGAAACCGUUGGAUAUUCCAGAAUGGAAAUGGGAACACAUAACGAUGGACUUUGUGGUAGGCCUCCCGAGAUCAGCAAAAGGUCACAAUGCUAUCUGGGUAGUGGUGGA
This 1085-nucleotide long non-coding RNA is filed under the name Olea europaea subsp. europaea. The record is from RNAcentral. Lineage: Eukaryota; Viridiplantae; Streptophyta; Magnoliopsida; Lamiales; Oleaceae.